AAUCAACGCUGGCGGCGUGCCUAACACAUGCAAGUCGAACGCGAAAGUUCCGCAAGGAAUUAGUAGAGUGGCAAACGGGUGAGUAACACGUGGGUGACCUGCCUUCGAGUGGGGAUAACGUCCCGAAAGGGACGCUAAUACCGCAUAACAUCCCGCCUUUUAAGAGGUGGAAAUCAAAGCUGGGGAUCGCAAGACCUGGCGCUUGAAGAGGGGCCCGCGUCCGAUUAGCUAGUUGGUGGGGUAACGGCNC
This 250-nucleotide ribosomal RNA is filed under the name uncultured bacterium. RNAcentral describes it as "partial 16S ribosomal RNA". It matches the Rfam family "Bacterial small subunit ribosomal RNA", at positions 32 to 266 of the family's 1533-position model. The record is from RNAcentral.